GCUGGCGGCACGCCUUAUACAUGCAAGUCGAACGAAGUAGCAAUACUUAGUGGCAGACGGGUGAGUAACAUGUGGGUAUCUUCCCUUUGGUGAGGAAUAACACGAGGAAACUUGUGCUAAUACCUCAUAAGUCUUUACGGAGAAAGCUUUAUGCGCCAUUGGAUGAGCCCGCACUUGAUUAGUUAGUUGGCAGGGUAAUGGCCUACCAAGACUUUGAUCAAUAGCUGAUUUGAGAGGAUGAUCAGCCACAUUGGGACUGAGACACGGCCCAAACUCCUACGGGAGGCAGCAGUAAGGAAUCUUGCACAAUGGAGGAAACUCUGAUGCAGCGAUGCCGCGUGAGUGAAGAAGGCCUUUGGGUUGUAAAGCUCUUUCGUCGGGGAAGAAAAUGACUGUACCCGAAUAAGAAGGUCCGGCUAACUUCGUGCCAGCAGCCGCGGUAAUACGAAGGGACCUAGCGUAGUUCGGAAUUACUGGGCUUAAAGAGUUCGUAGGUGGUUGAAAAAGUUGGUGGUGAAAUCCCAGAGCUUAACUCUGGAACUGCCAUCAAAACUUUUCAGCUAGAGUAUGAUAGAGGAAAGCAGAAUUUCUAGUGUAGAGGUGAAAUUCGUAGAUAUUAGAAAGAAUACCAAUUGCGAAGGCAGCUUUCUGGAUCAUUACUGACACUGAGGAACGAAAGCAUGGGUAGCGAAGAGGAUUAGAUACCCUCGUAGUCCAUGCCGUAAACGAUGUGUGUUAGACGUUGGAAAUUUAUUUUCAGUGUCGCAGCGAAAGCGAUAAACACACCGCCUGGGGAGUACGACC
Molecule: ribosomal RNA, 804 nt
Filed under: uncultured Pelagibacteraceae bacterium
Lineage: Bacteria; Pseudomonadati; Pseudomonadota; Alphaproteobacteria; Candidatus Pelagibacterales; Candidatus Pelagibacteraceae
Description: bacterial SSU rRNA
Rfam family: Bacterial small subunit ribosomal RNA
Source: RNAcentral